AUGAUCUUUACGGCUGCCAGCAGAACAGCCACUGAGGAGCAAAGCCUGAGCUGUAUCGCACAGAGAGGUACCGGAGUAAUUCCCCCUGCACAGCAGGACCUAGUGGUUCGGGGACCACCCGUACCCGCAAGGCUGCGGCGCCGGGAUGAGUGCUGGGCAUCCGACAAUCGCGAGUAUCCCGACCCCGUCCCACGGCACCGGGACAGCCGCGCCUUCGCCGCCCGGCCAGCCCCGGGCCGUGACCCGAGGUGGCUCCGCCGCUGCGCCGGUCCCCACGCGCCACCGCGGGGGCGGCAGGACCCUCGCCCGGCGGCGGCACAAGGGCCGACGGGCCCCGCCGCCCCUCCCGGGAAGCCGUUCCCCAGCGAGCGAGAAGCCGCCUUCGGAGGCGCCAACGGCCGGUGGGGGAAGCGGAGACGGCACUGUCUCCCGCGGCCGCGCUCCGCCCGCUCCCGGCGGGGCGAGAAGGGUCCGGGGCUCCCCGAUCGCUCCUGCCGGAGAGGGCUCGUCACCGUCCCCGCGCGGCGGCCGCGCCUCGGCCUCUCGCCCCCACCCCGCCGCCGCCGCCCCCCCUUCGCCACCGCGGCACGGCGGACCUACCUGCGGCGAGAAGGCGGCGGCAGCGGCAGCAGCGCCCCGGGCCCGAGCGCACGGAGCUCGGCCCCACCCGCGCGGCGACGACCGCCGCGGCCCUCCGCGAUGCCGGCAGCGGCUCCUCAGUCCCUCCGCCAGCGCCCGCCGCCACGGGCCUCUCAGUUCGGCACCGCCAUUUUGUCGGUGCCUGCGCCGCGGAGAGCUUCCCGGAUAUGGGCAGCUCCCGGCCUGCCUUGCGCGCCCGGCGCCCCGACCCGGAUGGAACGCGACGGCCGCCGCCCGCCCCGGGACGAGCCGAGGCGGCACCCCCGGCGUGCGGCUAACGUGGGCAGGCCUGCUAGGGGGAACCACAAACACCAGACACCACUCCCCGCCAGGUGCCGGGCACUGCUUUUUGCUUCCGUGGCAGUACCGAGCUGA
RNAcentral lists this long non-coding RNA (1014 nucleotides) under Falco tinnunculus (common kestrel). RNAcentral describes it as "lncRNA (ENSFTIG00000014842.1)". The record is from RNAcentral. Lineage: Eukaryota; Metazoa; Chordata; Aves; Falconiformes; Falconidae.